AAAGCGUGCGCAGGCGGUUGUGCAAGACAGAUGUGAAAUCCCCGGGCUCAACCUGGGAAUUGCAUUUGUGACUGCACGGCUAGAGUGUGUCAGAGGGGGGUAGAAUUCCACGUGUAGCAGUGAAAUGCGUAGAUAUGUGGAGGAAUACCGAUGGCGAAGGCAGCCCCCUGGGAUAACACUGACGCUCAUGCACGAAAGCGUGGGGAGCAAACAGGAUUAGAUACCCGAGU
Molecule: ribosomal RNA, 230 nt
Filed under: uncultured bacterium
Lineage: Bacteria
Description: partial 16S ribosomal RNA
Rfam family: Bacterial small subunit ribosomal RNA
Source: RNAcentral